This 904-nucleotide unclassified non-coding RNA is filed under the name Dictyostelium mucoroides. RNAcentral describes it as "partial contains 18S rRNA, ITS1, 5.8S rRNA, ITS2 and 26S rRNA". The stretch from base 311 to 468 matches the Rfam family "5.8S ribosomal RNA". Lineage: Eukaryota; Evosea; Eumycetozoa; Dictyosteliales; Dictyosteliaceae. The record is from RNAcentral.
UUUUUUUAUCUUAUUAAUAUAAUUAAAGAUAAUAUGUAAUCUAUAUACAAUUUGAAAAGUAUGCGAAAGUUUUGCUUAGUAAAAUAAUAUAGGUUUAUUAUUGUCUUGAUGUAAUUUACCCCCCAAAAGUAAAUUGUAUUUAGCGAGGUAUUAAAUGUUUGAUUUCGGUCAAAAUCCAUCUAGCAAUUGUUUCCAUAUGUUACUUCUAAUCCCAAUCUUUACUCGAACAGCGGCAAUAGCCAAAGUUCAAAAACCAUUUUUCUAGUAUGUCAAACAAACCAUUUAAAAUAUGUUUUAUAUUUAAAUAUUUAAGCAUAAACGGUGAAUACCUCGACUCCUAAAUCGAUGAAGACCGUAGCAAACUGCGAUAAUUCACUUGAAUUGCAGCCUACUGGGAUAGUUGAAAUGUUGAACGCACAUGAUGACAUUGGUCCUUUCGGAUUAAGUGUUAUACCUGGGUGAGAGUGGCUUUUAAACCAGUCAUAAUCAAAUGAUUUUAUUACUUUCGAGUGGUAAUAUCUUUGAGAAUGAUUUGUAUUUAGAAUUCAGACCCUUCAAGCUGACCUCACGGUUAGUUUGUCGACUAGAUUCUCUAUACAUUUGUACGGUACUCCGUAGUAAUUGCUCACAGUCAUUCUUUAUAUCGUCUCUGAUUAAUCUAUUUUCGUAUAGUUUUUUCAACGUGGGACCUAAUAGAAAGUCUAACUUGUCAAGUAGAAAACCGAAUUGAUUUAUCACUAGUUUUCCAAAGACUGACCUGAUAAGUAUAUCUGGAAACCUAGAUUAAACUGAUUAUUAAUCUGUCAGAUUCAAUAUGCUGAAUAACAAAACUGUUUAGUUGGUUCAGUUAGCUUAGAGUGCUACUCUUAUUAGUCUAUUUAUUGAACCCAUGACUUAUAUGUGC